Gossypium hirsutum (cotton) is the source of this 146-nucleotide non-coding RNA. The record is from Rfam. Lineage: Eukaryota; Viridiplantae; Streptophyta; Magnoliopsida; Malvales; Malvaceae.
UAUUAAAAGUUUUGUCCAUUUGCAUUAUUAAAAACUGGCGUGAUUGAUGGAAUGGCCAACUAGAGUGACAUAUGGUGUACUACAUAUACCUCAUGCUAACAUACAAAGACAAGUUUUUAACAAUAAAAUAGAUAGAAUUUUUAAUA